GCCCCCGUAGCUCAACCGGAUAGAGUAGCUGGCUUCGAACCAGUUGGUUGCGUGUUCGAAUCGCGCCGGGGGCGCCA
This 77-nucleotide transfer RNA is filed under the name Desulfurispira natronophila. RNAcentral's name for it is "tRNA-Arg". It matches the Rfam family "tRNA". From Rfam's summary of the family: Transfer RNA (tRNA) molecules are approximately 80 nucleotides in length. Lineage: Bacteria; Pseudomonadati; Chrysiogenota; Chrysiogenia; Chrysiogenales; Chrysiogenaceae. The record is from RNAcentral.